This 253-nucleotide ribosomal RNA is filed under the name uncultured bacterium. RNAcentral's name for it is "partial 16S ribosomal RNA". It matches the Rfam family "Bacterial small subunit ribosomal RNA", at positions 524 to 776 of the family's 1533-position model. The record is from RNAcentral.
UACGUAGGGAUCAAGCGUUGUUCGGAUUUACUGGGCGUAAAGGGCGCGUAGGCGGCUUGUCAAGUCACUUGUGAAAUCUCUGGGCUUAACCCAGAACGGCCAAGUGAAACUGACAUGCUAGAGUGCAGAAGGGGCAAUCGGAAUUCUUGGUGUAGCGGUGAAAUGCGUAGAUAUCAAGAGGAACACCUGAGGUGAAGACGGGUUGCUGGGCUGACACUGACGCUGAGGCGCGAAAGCCAGGGGAGCAAACGGG